GUGUUUGCUUUGGUAACACAUAUACUAAAAUGAGAACGAUCAGAGAAGAUUAACAUGGCCCUUGUGCAAGAAUGACAUGCAAAUUCAUGAAGGGUUCCAUGGUCAU
This is a small nuclear RNA of Delphinapterus leucas (beluga whale), 106 nucleotides long. Lineage: Eukaryota; Metazoa; Chordata; Mammalia; Artiodactyla; Monodontidae. The record is from Ensembl.